AAAUGAAUUGACGGGGGCCCGCACAAGCAGCGGAGCAUGUGGUUUAAUUCGAAGCAACGCGAAGAACCUUACCAGGGCUUGACAUCCACAGGAGGCGGUAGAGAUACUGCUGUGCCCCUUUAAGGGGAGCUGUGAGACAGGUGGUGCAUGGUUGUCGUCAGCUCGUGUCGUGAGAUGUUGGGUUAAGUCCCGCAACGAGCGCAACCCCUAUUGCUAGUUGCUAACAGGUAAAGCUGAGCACUCUAGCGAGACUGCCGGGGACAACUCGGAGGAAGGUGGGGAUGACGUCAAAUCAUCAUGCCCCUUAUGUCCUGGGCUACACACGUGCUACAAUGGCCGGUACAGAGGGCAGCUAAGGAGUAAUCCGGAGCCAAUCCCUGAAAAAGCCGGUCUCAGUUCGGAUUGUGGGCUGCAACCCGCCCACAUGAAGUCGGAGUUGCUAGUAAUCGCGGAUCAGCCAUGCCGCGGUGAAUGCGUUCCCGGGCCUUGCACACACCGCCCGU
This 503-nucleotide ribosomal RNA is filed under the name uncultured bacterium. Its description in RNAcentral is "bacterial SSU rRNA". It matches the Rfam family "Bacterial small subunit ribosomal RNA", at positions 903 to 1397 of the family's 1533-position model. The record is from RNAcentral.